GUAGAGGAUGUAAUUAGAGGGUGUAAUCAGGGGAGAACCCCAGGAAACAGCAGCACCUGUGGGAUGUGGGGUGGCAGGUGGGGCAUAGUGGACCAGGAAAAAAGCUGGCAGGAAGUUCUGCCAUGGAGAAUGUCUCGGAGAAGGAAGUCAUCGCAGAGAGAGGCCUGAACACGUAUAUCAGGUUUAGCAAGAGAAAGGUCCUGGAGGACUUGAAGGAGAGCAGUUCUGGGGAAAGGUGAGCGCAGAAGCUGAUUGUAACGAGCUGAGCUGACUGUGUCAUUAAUCAGCAUGUGAUGUGCCUGGGGCAUAUCCUUCAGCCAUUAGGAAAAUAUUAUAGAAGGUUGAUUCUGUCUAAGAAUUAAAGGGAAAUCAUUCGGGAUGAGGCUUCCCAGGGCCUCUGACCUUGUGGGAAGAAAACCAGGAGGUGCUUAACCCAUUCGUGUUACAUAUUUGCUUGGCACCUGUGCAGAACAUUCGGAGAAGACCAGGCUUUGAGAAUCUAGCCGAAGGUGCAGAAAGACAUCCCUGGUAAUAGAGGUGAGCAGGUGGUCAGCUCUGGAUGCGGGGUCUGUUGGAUGUUAUUAAAGAGGAAAAAAGAGAUGGCUUAGAACUCUGCAGUCGUGUCGGACAAUGGCACACUUUAUGUCAAUACUGAUGAGCUGGGAUAAGGAACACCUCCACCAAACUCACAGUGUCGGUUUUAAGUGUAAGCCCCAGAAACAGUUUUCAUGAAAGUGUGUCUGGAGGAAAAUAGGAAAUGUCACUGCUGCUGAGAUCCAUUUGAAAUGAGCAGGAGAAAAAUACAGACUCGGGUAAUUAGAUUUUUAGAUCCAGCUCAGACUGUAACAUCUGUUACCCCGCUAUGUUCUGGGUCUGGGGGGGGUAGAUCAGGUGUGCUGUGGCGGGAAACAGAGGGUUUGGAGCUUUCCUUCACGAAGCAGCCAAGUGCACAGUGGGAACAGCAUGGGCUUUGAACGGAGCCCCAAAUGCAUUUGUUCCAAACCAUUUGCAAGUGAGGCAGCGUAGUCUCUCUGACCUUCAUGGCUUUGGUUUGUUUUUGUUUGUUAAAAGAAGUUAACAGUACUUUGUCCAAAGAUUAUUGAAAGGGUUAAAAUACCCUGUAAAUAUUCAAACAUAUCUAUGAAAUGCUUAAAAUAUUAGACAACAAGCGACUUCUCAAUACCCUCUUCCAUUUCUUUCUGUCUCUCUCUCCCUCCCUUUUUUCCUCCCUCCCUUCCUCCCUCCCUCCCUCCCUCUUUUUUCCCCCAGUGAACAUCUGUUUCUUCAGGUCAAGAGUCUGACUUUUAGGAAUCUAAGUGUGGACCCCUAGAAAAUUAUAUUAUUUGCAUCAAAGUCAGAUCCUCCAGGUAAUGGGGCUAAUUUGAAAGUGUCUCUAGAGACAAGAAGGCCCUCAAAGGCCUCAAAGUUCCCCUAAAUGGAUUAACUCUUCCCAGUGAUUUGAUCAGGAAAAAAAAAAUCUUCCAAGCUAUCAAAUGACUCAGCUUCUCUCAGGGCCAUAUGCGCAGUUUCCAUCUCAUUAACAAAAAGCUGAUUCCUCAUAAACCUUUGAAGAAAGAGUAGUUCUUUCCCAAGAAAACAUUCCAGUCUCUGAAACUGGAUGGAACCUCACCACGCAAACUGUAAACUUCAUUUUCCAGAGCAAAUGGCCCUCAUCUCCAACCUGGAAGGAUAGGAAGUGACUCCUUUCACUCUUCCAGUGAUCUGGUAUCUUCUUGGAUCGAGGCAUAAACUGUAAACUUGCAGAGUCACGGCUCUUCAAUUGUCAGAGGAGUAUUAUCCACAAUUUCAGAGAAGGGAAGCUAAACUAAUCUCUGGCAAGUAAAAAACAUGUGUCAAAGUCUCUUCCUUACAGUCUGAAGGACCAUUCAAUGCCUUGCUGAGGGGUCUGUUGCCUGAGUCUAUGCUCAGGUCUAAAAUAGUGUUUAUUGAUAUGCAAAUUCAUAACAGAUUAGAGGUAGAAAAAAUUACAGUCAAUAGAGAAAUCACAGGCAGAUGGGUGUAUCAAAAGGGACUGUCAGUGAAAGGAAAGUGAAUGCUAACCAUGACCCGUGUAGGAAAUCAAAAGUCACAACCAUCAUUGAGCAUUUUGUGCUGAGCGAAAGGCCAUGUGUAUGUAAUGCCCCCAAGGCCACAACCCAGAUCCCACUCAGCAGAGUGAGGGUUACUCAGUGCAAACCUUGAGAAAAAGCUGGUGUACAAAUGAUGCAGCCACCGCCUUAUCAAGAUACAGGACAUUUUCAUCCCCCUGGAGGGGGUUUCAAAUCCUGACUGAUCUGAUGUCCCUCUCUGUAGGUUGUGUUUCCUGCUUCCAGGGUUUCAAGUAAAUGGAAUUACACAACAUUAUAUUCCUCUGUAUCUGUCUUCUCUCAUGAACCAUCAUGUUCUUGAGAUUCAUUCUUGUUGUAGGCAACAUACAUCCACUUUUUCUAUUACUGAAUAAGUAGUGAGCUGUAUAAAUAUACCAUAGUUGGUUUACCCAUUUACCUAUUGGUGACUAUUUCUAUACAAAUAAUUUCAUGGGCUUAUGUUUUUAUUUCUCUUAGUAAAUAUCUAGGAGUGAGCCUAGUGGGUUAUAUGGUUAGUGUCUAUUUAACUUUUAAGAAACAACCAAAUAGUUUCCAAAGUGAUUAUACCAUUUUAUAUUCCCACCAGCAAUUUGCAAAAGUUCUAAUUUCUUUACAUUUUGUCUUUACAACACUUAAUAUUGUCAGCAUUUUUUUUAGCCAUUCUAGUGUGUGGGAAGUGAUUUCCCAUUGUGAUUUUAAUUUGCAUUUGCUUUUUAACUCAUGAAUGACUUACAGAGUUUGGAUCUACAAACUGUGUCCACAGGCAGGAUCAGCUCCAUAAUUUGGAAAUCUUCACAUAAAGUAAAAAUGUAAUGUUACUUGUUCAACACUUACUAAGAAUUCCCAGGUAACAACAGCAAAACAGUGCAACAAAGCAAGAGGUCCUGCUGGAGAGUUCCCAACAUGGCUCAGCAGAAACAAAGCUGUCUAGCAUCCAUGAGGACUAAAGUUCAAUCCUUGAUCCUUAACCCACUGAUCGAGGCCAGGGAUUAAACCUGCAACCUCACAGUUCCUAGCAGGAUUUGUUUCUGCUGCGCCAAACUCCCAAGAAUCGUUUUUAUAUUUUUUAAAUAGCUACAAAAUAAAAGAACAUAUUUUUGAUAGUUAAGAUUUUACCAAAAAAAUUCAAAUUAUAGUGACCCUAAAUAGUUUUAUUGGAGCACAACCAUACUCAUUCACUGAUGUGUUAUCUUUGGCUAGACAGUAACAGAGUUUGCAGUUGCAAAAGAAACUGUACAGCCUACAAAUACAAAAUAUUUCCUCUCUGGCCCUUUAUAGAAAAAAUUUGCCAAGUCCUCCUACAGAUCAUCUUUUCAUGUUUCACUUAGCCACUUUUGUAUCUUCUUUUUCAAAGUGUCCAUUCAAGGCUUUUGUCUGUUUUUAAUUGCAUUGGUCAUCUUUUCACUUUUGAGUUCUUCAAGUUCUUAAUAUACUGUAGAGAUAAUUCCUUUGUCAGAUAUAUGCGUGGAAAAUAUUAUCUUCAAGUCUUUGGUCGGACAUUACAGUUUAUUAAAGAUUUUUCAGAGAGCAAGAGGUUUUAAUUUUGAUGGAGUCCAAUUUAUCAAUUUUUGUUUUUAUGAUUAGUACUUUUUGUCUUCUAAGAAAUCGUCGCCUACCUCAAAUUUGCAAAGAAUUUUUUCCUAUUUUUUUUUUAGAAAUUUUGUGCUUUUAUUUUUUGCAUGUAGGUCUAUAAACCAUCUUCAACUUUUACUAUUUUUUGGCAAACUCUGCCUAUCCUAUAAGUCUCAUCAAGGCCUGAUUUUAGUUUUGUUUAAGGUGGGUCUGAAAGAAAAGUCUAGGAGUUCUCUAGUGGCCUAGUGGUUAAGGAUUCAGCAUUGCCACUGCUGUGGCUCAGGUUUGAUCCCUGGCCUGGGAACUUCCACAUGUCACAUGUGCACCCAAUAAAUAAAUAAAGACUUUUCUCCUGAACAUGGCCCUUGCUCCUAAGACACGGCUUUUAUAAUGUCCCAGAUAGAUGCCUGUAGUAUUCAUGAGAUACAAAUAAUUUCAUCCAUUUUGUCUAGACCAGAACCUCCUCCCAGCCCUGCUAGAGCACUAGAUUAUUGACUCUCAAAUCCAUAGCUGCCAUCCUCUGGUAAAUAAAAAUUCUCCCCUCAUGCAUGUAGAGCCUAAACUUUAGCUAUGGACUGAGGAGGAGCCCUGCCACAGGCUUCUGUAGCAACCCUCCACUCUGUACAACUCUCUCAUCUCCAGUGCCCUGGCUCAGUAUUAGAGUCAUUUUAGUUACCCUGAGUCAGAUCUCUGCCUCUUCAGGCAACGGGACCACUAUGCUGUGAUUGAAGGCCUUUCACUCUGCAGAGAGCCUGGGAAAUUAUGAAAUUAUGGAGCUCACCCAUGAGUGUCCCUUUUCUCAUGGAUUGGAGUCUUCCACUACCUCAUGGUCAAUGCUGAAAAGAAUUGCUUGGUCUGUUUUGUUUAGCUUUAUGGUUAUUUGCAUUGGAAGGGCUAUACCAGUACUAGUUAAUCGAUAAUAGAGAGAUGCCGAAGUCUUGUGCAAUUGCUUUUAUUACUGUUCCAUAUGGACAUGUAACCUAAAUUUAAUUUAUGCUUUCCCAAAACGUAACAGGCAAAAUACAAAUUCUAUUAGCUAAAAGUCCCAAAGGAGUUCUGCACCAAUUAAUAAUCGAAUGUAUUUUCUUAGCAGAUUAGGGUUUUAAUAAUAAACCAUUCACAACAAUGAUAAUAUUUAACUUUCAUUAUCUACUUGAGGUUUAUUUUUUUCAGCAAGAUCUUAAGUUAAUGAUGGGGAAAAAAUAGUACCCACAUAACCGUGAAGCCAUUACAAAGGGGCUCUAGAUUCUAACUUGCAGUCAGCUUCUUAUCUCUACCUCCACUUUCCUCCAACAACCAAGACUAGCUCAGUCAUGGUGGAGGCAGAAGCUAUCUGAUUUCAGUGUCCUUAAGCUCCUGCAAAUAUAAUGUUUCGUACUUGGAGUGGGGUCAGAGAGUUAAGGUUAAAAGAAAGUAUCAAUUAGCUGUUACACUCUCAUCUAGUUGGAAAUAAUAUCUGUGCCACAUAUUAAGGAGAAGAAAAUAUUCAGAAGAAAAGGAAGGAAGGAAGAAAAGGUAGAGGAAGAAAGAAAAAAGAGAAGAAAAGAAAAGAAAGGGAAAAAGAAAACGAAAGAAAAAAAGAAAGAAAAAUGGGUCCCUGUUCUGAAAGUUAUUAGUGUUGAAUAAUUUCAGAAAAACCUAAACGGCAAUGUCAUGUGACAAGACUGAUUACAGGGCUAUCAGUGCGGUGCUAAGGAGGUUUGGAGAAAAGCCACCAACUGCCUUAUGAAGGAGAAGGGACACAGGUAAAAGCAAUAUUUAAGAAGGUGGAAAUGCAAUAGGUGCAAAUUUCACCGUUAAAAUUUCCCAUUGGUAAAGAGAUCACUUGCUUUGUUUCUUUAUAACUAAAUUUAACUCAGGAACCACCGUUCCACUUUGGUAGAAGACAACUUAAUUUUAUCAAUUCAAGAAACAUUCAGUCACUUCUGGUUUAAUAUUGAGUCUCUUGAGAAACCACUAAACCAAUUCAACACUUUCUUCCUCUCCUCUUCUGAGGGCUGCCUCAGGCUGACGUCAUUAUUAAGAAUUUGUUUUAUUGUCAGUCUGGGUUUGAGUAAGAGGGUUAUUUACUAUCCGAGAACUGGGGGGAGAUAUGGCCCACAGCUAGAGCAUAUCUCUGUGUUGGCAUCUUCUAAGAUGAACCAUCCUUCUUCAUCUAUCAUUGCAUUGUUCACAGAAAAUUCUACAUUUCUGUUUGUUAAUUGGUCACUAUGUUCUUGCAAAUCAUUCUCCAUCCUCCUUAAACUUACUCCAAUGUCUGUGCAGUUCUGCUGUCUCACCAUCAAAAUUUUCUGGACCCUAGCUUCCCAGAGCACAUGCAUUAAAAAAAAAAAAAAAAAAAAAAAAAA
This 6007-nucleotide long non-coding RNA is filed under the name Sus scrofa (pig). RNAcentral describes it as "lncRNA (ENSSSCG00040057574.1)". The stretch from base 3891 to 3963 matches the Rfam family "tRNA". The record is from RNAcentral. Lineage: Eukaryota; Metazoa; Chordata; Mammalia; Artiodactyla; Suidae.